AUAAGUGGCGACUUGCCUUGACUUUUCAACUAAAACAUAUAAUUCUGCAAUUUAUCGAUUGUGUUGUCAACUCAGUAGCUUGUGGAGGAAGAAACCAUGGAGAUGGAGCAGCAGUUGGAGUGGAAUGAAGCGCAGAAGAUUGUGAUAAAUGUUGACCUUGUUGCUGCAGCCAAACAGCAACUUGCGUUUCUUGCUACCAUUGAUAGGAAUCGUUGGCUCAAUGAAGGCGUUGGUUUGGAUAUUGCAAUUUAUAGGUACUAUUCGUGUUGGCUACCGUUGUUGGCAAAACACUCGGACUGCCCUUUCUUUGAAGGAUCUUUGGUUGUUCCUCUUGAUUGUGAAUGGAUUUGGCAUUGUCACAGGCUCAAUCCUAUUAGAUACAAAACUGAUUGCGAGGAAUUAUAUGGGAGGAUUCUUGACAACCAUAACGUUGUGUCUUCCGUGAAAGGAAUAUCACAAAUGGAAACAGAAGAGACUUGGAAACACUUGUAUCCAAAUGAACCCUAUGACUUGGAUUCAGCAAGAGCUGUUUCAGAUAAUAACCCUGCACAAAUUCUAAAAUCUGAAAAGUGCAGUACCUAUGAUCUGGUCUCUGCUGUUAAAAGGCAAAGCCCCUUCUUCUACCAGGUGUCUAGACCCCACAUGACCAGCGAGGUCUAUCUUGAGGGAGCGGUGGCUCGGUACAAGGGUUUCUUACACUUAAUCCGAAGAAACAAAGAAAGAUCAAUUGAUAGCUUCUCUGUUCCAACUUAUGACAUCGACCUUAUCUGGCACACUCAUCAGUUACAUCCUAUUUCUUAUUAUAAAGACCUUGUUGAUAUUAUGGGUAAGGUGUUAAAUCAUGAUGAUACAGAUUCAGACAGAACAAAAGGGAAGAAGCUGGAUACUGGGUUUUCUGGAACUACAAGGUUUUGGGAGGAGAUGUAUGGGUUAAGAUAUUGGAGGGCAGGUGCAAUGUAUAGAGGAAAUACACCAUCUCCUCUAAGAAUUUGUUCUUACCCCUCCAAUCCCGUGACCAAGAAUGCAGAUACAUUCCAUGCGGAUCACAAGAUAAUUCAUCUUCCAGAGAUGAAAGUUUUGGAAGUCAUGUUGGAGAUCAUAGGCAUAAGAAACUUACCCAAAGGCCACAAGGGAGACUUCUUUGUUUUCUUUAGCAAGUCACAGCCUGAUAGGAUCUUCAAUGCAAAAAAGAAACUUACAAUUUUGUCUGAGCGUGGGGAAAAGCAGGUUGCUUACUUCCAAUGUGAACCUUGUGGACAUCUUCUCUUGGAACUCAUGUCCCAGUCGUCUCAUGGUUUGCCAAUUUCAAAAUCUGUUGAAGUUAUAGGUUCUACUGCCCUCUCUUUAGAAGAUUUGACUUGCCCAGCUUCACAACUCACAAUGGAAAAAUGGUUGGAAGUUGUGCCAAGCACUAAAAUAGAAGCAUUGGAACCAAUCUGUGUACGAGUAGCUGUAUCAGUUACAACACCUAGUGCUGCACCACAUGUGUUUCACAUGGUUUGCUCCCGAGCAUUCUCAAAAAUUUCUUGUUUUUUCACAUUUCGUGGAAGGAUUCAGUAUGCAAAGAAUUGGACUCAUGUCACUGAUGAUGUUGGUGAUGAGAUCAUUAGCCUACAAAUGAGGAAAUCGAAGAAAUCAAGGAGAAUGAAUGGCUCUAUAUUGCAGAAGGAGUUGAUCAGCAUCAACAAGGCUGGUGAAACACAUACUCUUGCUGAGUUAGUUGGGAAAGAGUGGUUGUUGUUGGAUUCCCUCUGGUCCCUCAAAUUUCAAACUUGCAGCGGUGAUGACGGCUACCUUUUGGAGUUGGUUGAUAGUUCCAGGAUUGUAAAGUUCUUCCCUGGUCAAAAAUUGGAUUAUGAGCACAAGCACUGUGCAAAGCGAAGAAAUCAAGAUGAUUUUAUGACAGCAAUUGAAUUCUCUUCAGAGCACCCAUACGGAAAGGCACUGGCGUUGCUCGACUUAAAAUCUGGUGUUAUCAAUGUCAAAGAAGAGUGGCUAUUCUUGCCUGGGAUAAUAACAGCUUUUAUACUAGGUGAUAUUUUGAGAAAAGAAGGGUAUAGUAACUUGCUGAGCAUUGGCAACAAUUUGAAGGAUAAGAAUACUUCAACGGAAGAAACUAAUGCCAUGCCAAAUGAAUAGGACAACAGAAGUAGUCUGAACUUGUGUUGCUCAGUAGGCUGUGGCAGUUCUUGCAUUUGGUAGACAAUUGUAUUAACGCAAGAUGAAUGAUUCAACAUGGAGAGUGUUAAGAUAUGAAGAGUAGAUCAAAUUUGAAGGUUGAUUUAGCGAUUCAUAUGGAAUUUUCCUUACAGCGUCAAAUUUAAGACUAAUUCGGAAACCUGGAAACUGAAGUCCCGUUGUUACCAUGACAAGUUGGGUCCAACAAGGAGGCUUUCAAAUUGAACUCCAUUAAAAGUGAAAGGUAUGGAUUCUUCGUGCAAACAAUACAGGUUAAGUCAACGGUACAAAUAGCAUUCAUAAGAAAAGGCAUAUGCUCAAUAGAGUGCUCAACAGAAGGGGGCAUGUCAUUAAGCAGCAACAGUGACCCAAACAAAACUUUGAUCCAGGUAAAGUGAACUAUGGAAUAUGGAGCAAGUACUGCCACCAGGCAUUUGGCAUCAAAAAGAGCAAAAUUCUGAGAUAAGAAGUCUCGUAGCAGCCUCUCAAGUUGGAAGAGCUAGUUUCUCUUUUCCAUGUUGUAGGAGGUUCCACUAAAGUUCAGGUUGCAGGAGCUUCUUUUGCUGCUUCAACAUAAGGUGACUGUACACUAUCCUCAUCAGAAUCACUCCCAGAAGAACUUCCUGAAUCUGCAUAACCAUGGCAAAAGUAAAUAUAGCAUCACACUUGUUAACCAGAAUGAACUACAGAAAGAAAAAGUUAUACCACCGGAAGAAGAAUCACUGCCAGAACUUGAGCCGCUAGAGCUGCUUGGAUCCUUGUCGAUAUGCACAGGAGGAAAGUUUUCACCUGGUAUUUCCUCACCAAUAUCAACAUCCUCUUCCACAACGUCCACUUCAUUGAUUUCAGGCUUUGCAUGUUCUGGUGUUGGUGCUUUCUCAGGCGACUUAUUUAACAAAAGCAACAUGGUGAUCAGCACACAUGGCACAAUAUAGAGUUACUUAACAAAUGUAUGAAAAAAACAUAUGAUUUCUUUACCUUGUCGAGCAGUACGUCCGCUGCAUUUUCUGUGACUCCUGAUCUCUCAAUCUUGCUCAUAGACUCCUUAUGGGGAAUAACAUAUCUAUACAGUUCCCAGA
This is an RNA transcript of Solanum pennellii, 3257 nucleotides long. It is a transcript of the gene named glycine-rich domain-containing protein 1, with no coding region annotated. NCBI's taxonomy places the organism in Eukaryota, Viridiplantae, Streptophyta, Magnoliopsida, Solanales, Solanaceae. The transcript has 13 exons. The record is from RefSeq and is a predicted model, not a curated record.